UUGGUGGUAUAGUGGUGAGCAUAGCUGCCUUCCAAGCAGUUGACCCGGGUUCGAUUCCCGGCCAACGCAUUUUCCUUUGGCUGCUGUAUACGUCACGUCGGCCGAUGACGCGCUUGUUAAAGGCAACCAACCGAAAAGUAAAAGGCAGACAAGGGCCUCCCCGUCGGGGAAUCGAACCCCGGUCUUCCGCGUGACAGGCGGAGAUACUGUCCACUAUACUAACGAGGAGCUGCGGAGCUAAGGUGCCCGCUCCUGCCCCACGCAGAUCAGCCACGUAAUCCGGUCCUAGCAGCAUUGUCUGCAGCGCUGCCACUAAAGACCUUGGCAGACAGCAAGAGGAGGGCUGAAAACUGGGCUUGGACAGCUUUUUCUUCAUUAAUACUCCUUGCUUCUUUCUCAGUCUUGCACUGGUCAUCAGCAGUAACUUGAACAGUGCAUCACACAGGAGAACGUGAUUAGCAUGUUUUGCAGCAAACAAAGCACGCCAUUCAUUCUUACACACAGCCCAGCUUUUACUCCACAAAAUGUCAGCUUGCCCUUUCACGAGCUGCAUCCAGUCAACCCUUGGAAUGACAUUCAAACCGGGGGAGCUCAUUACAGUGAACACUGGCUGACAGAAGAUGAGAACUCCACCACUGCAGAGUGAAAUUAUCCACCUCUGUUGUUUUUUGGUGAGCUUGUGCCGUCGAACGAUUUAUCCAACCUCAACGUCGGAAAAAGAUGGGAUCCAUACUUGACAUUUUUGUUUUUCGCCCCCCACACAAAGAAACUCCUUGCUUGAAAGCUUUCAUUUUCUACACUUCUGUGAGAGGAUGUCCACAAGCGUUGGUAACAUAGUGGUGAGCACAGCUGGCUUCCUAGCAGAUUCCCAGCCAAUGUGUUCCUUUUGGCUUCCGUUAUGCUACAUGGCCGGGCGGCACUCUUGUGAGGAUGUCCCUGUGACAUGUGGGUAGAUCGGUGCAUUUUGCGAAGGUUAGGAUCCCUAUGCCGAACAUGUUUCGGUGCCGAACCCGGACAAAGAGGGAUCCUUGGUUGAAGGCACUUGUGCCGUCGAACGAUUUAUCCAACCUCAACGUCGGAAAAAGAUGGGAUCCAUACUUGACAUUUUUGUUUUUCGCCCCCCACACAAAGAAACUCCUUGCUUGAAAGCUUUCAUUUUCUACACUUCUGUGAGAGGAUGUCCACAAGCGUUGGUAACAUAGUGGUGAGCACAGCUGGCUUCCAAGCAGAUUCCCAGCCAAUGUGUUCCUUUUGGCUUCCGUUAUGCUACAUGGCCGGGCG
Molecule: non-coding RNA, 1281 nt
Organism: Danio rerio (zebrafish)
Lineage: Eukaryota; Metazoa; Chordata; Actinopteri; Cypriniformes; Danionidae
Source: RefSeq, a predicted model, not a curated record